UCAGUGUUCCCACCAGCUAUGAAAAAAAAUUAAGAUUGUGUUUAUAUCUUAAAUCCAGAGGGUAAACUACAAAUUGAAAGACUCCACCAAUCACCUCCCAGAAAAUCUCCCAGGAAUAUCUUGGAAAAAUUCUAGAGAUCCCAGGUCAGAGAGGAAAUACUUCAAACAACCAUCAAGAAAUAAUUCAAAUAUCAUGGUGCCAUUUUCACAUUUAAGGAGAAGAAGGCAUGGAAUAUGAUAUAUCAGAAGACAAAGAAGUGGUACACAAGAGAAGAGACUGAGGACAUGAACUCCAGACUAUAGUAACUCCUCAAAGUGAAUGGAGUCUUGUCAUCAAGGUAGUCCUCAGGCUGAACUCAUCAGCCAAACACCUGUACUUUUGAGCCAGGGAAGAGACAAGAUACUGGAGAAGACCAAGAUGAUCUCUACGAAAUUACUUUAAAAAUACUAUUAUAUGAUGCCUCAAAAUGAAUUCUGGAGCAGCACAACCUAUGGAAUGACAGGAAUAAUAAACUGGAGGAAUUCCAUGGAGUCCAACAACCUCCAGGAAGUGAUGCAGAGCGAAAGGAGCAGAACCAGGAAAACAUUGUACACAGAGACUAAUACACUGUGGUACAUUAGAAGGUAAUGGACUUUUCCAUUAUGGUCAAUGCAAUGUCCCUGAACAACUUGCAGGGAACUAAAAAACAGUAUCCACAAG
This 700-nucleotide long non-coding RNA is filed under the name Monodelphis domestica (gray short-tailed opossum). Its description in RNAcentral is "lncRNA (ENSMODG00000040899.1)". Lineage: Eukaryota; Metazoa; Chordata; Mammalia; Didelphimorphia; Didelphidae. The record is from RNAcentral.